CUACGGGGCGCUGCAGUGGGGAAUAUUGCACAGUGGGCGCAAGCCUGAUGCAGCCAUGCCGCGUGUAUGAAGAAGGCCUUCGGGUUGUAAAGUACUUUCAGCGGGGAGGAAGGGAGUAAAGUUAAUACCUUUGCUCAUUGACGUUACCCGCAGAAGAAGCACCGGCUAACUCCGUGCCAGCAGCCGCGGUAAUACGGAGGGUGCAAGCGUUAAUCGGAAUUACUGGGCGUAAAGCGCACGCAGGCGGUUUGUUAAGUCAGAUGUGAAAUCCCCGGGCUCAACCUGGGAACGGCAUCUGAUACUGGCAAGCUUGAGUCUCGUAGAGGGGGGUAGAAUUCCAGGUGUAGCGGUGAAAUGCGUAGAGAUCUGGAGGAAUACCGGUGGCGAAGGCGGCCCCCUGGACGAAGACUGACGCUCAGGUGCGAAAGCGUGGGGAGCAAACAGGAUUAGAUACCCCCGUAGUC
RNAcentral lists this ribosomal RNA (464 nucleotides) under uncultured bacterium. Its description in RNAcentral is "partial 16S ribosomal RNA". It matches the Rfam family "Bacterial small subunit ribosomal RNA", at positions 339 to 795 of the family's 1533-position model. The record is from RNAcentral.